This 562-nucleotide ribosomal RNA is filed under the name uncultured Gammaproteobacteria bacterium. Its description in RNAcentral is "bacterial SSU rRNA". It matches the Rfam family "Bacterial small subunit ribosomal RNA", at positions 561 to 1122 of the family's 1533-position model. Lineage: Bacteria; Pseudomonadati; Pseudomonadota; Gammaproteobacteria. The record is from RNAcentral.
UAAAGCGCGCGUAGGCGGUUUGUUAAGUCGGAUGUGAAAUCCCCGGGCUCAACCUGGGAAUUGCCUUCGAUACUGGCCGACUAGAGUACGAGAGAGGGAGGUAGAAUUCCACGUGUAGCGGUGAAAUGCGUAGAUAUGUGGAGGAAUACCGGUGGCGAAGGCGGCCUCCUGGCUCGAUACUGACGCUGAGGUGCGAAAGCGUGGGUAGCAAACAGGAUUAGAUACCCUGGUAGUCCACGCCGUAAACGAUGUCUACUAGCCGUUGGGAGACUUGAUUUCUUAGUGGCGCAGCUAACGCACUAAGUAGACCGCCUGGGGAGUACGGCCGCAAGGUUAAAACUCAAAUGAAUUGACGGGGGCCCGCACAAGCGGUGGAGCAUGUGGUUUAAUUCGAUGCAACGCGAAGAACCUUACCAGGUCUUGACAUCCUCGGAACUUUCCAGAGAUGGAUUGGUGCCUUCGGGAACCGAGAGACAGGUGCUGCAUGGCUGUCGUCAGCUCGUGUCGUGAGAUGUUGGGUUAAGUCCCGUAACGAGCGCAACCCUUGUCCUUAGUUGCCAGC